RNAcentral lists this ribosomal RNA (510 nucleotides) under Triticum aestivum (bread wheat). RNAcentral describes it as "partial small subunit ribosomal RNA". Lineage: Eukaryota; Viridiplantae; Streptophyta; Magnoliopsida; Poales; Poaceae. The record is from RNAcentral.
AUGGCCUUCCUCCACCCCUGGCCUGCUACCCACAUCCUCGACCCGCCACCAGGGAGGAGUCCCGCUCGGUCCCCCUCGUCCUCCUCCUCUGUGCCGAGCCACCUCCAUGGCCGCCGAGCCACCACCUUACGCCGCCCGUUCGUCGCACCACUGCUGCGUCCUGCUUCUCCCGACGCCGCUACGCGCCAAGUCUCAACCGGAGCACCGUGCUUCUGCCGUCGCCGCACCAAGCUCCCUGCUCCUGCCGACGGAGCCCUGCACCAGGCUCGACCCCGAGCAGCACCGCUCUGCUUCUCCACUAGAGCUCUUCUCCCGUGCGCCGUCGCCGUCCAAGUCCAGCAAGCCACCGCACCGCUGCCUCGCUGCAGCUGCUCCUUCGCUGUUCUGUUCUGCUGCCUCCCGCGUUCGGUCGCCGCCGGUGCCCAUGACCAGCGUUGUGCCUCUGCUCGUGAUUGCCGCUGCCAGUGUGCGCACCCUGCUGCUACUUUGUCGGCCGCCUCCCUUCGUUGA